Molecule: long non-coding RNA, 722 nt
Organism: Nerophis ophidion (straightnose pipefish)
Lineage: Eukaryota; Metazoa; Chordata; Actinopteri; Syngnathiformes; Syngnathidae
Exons: 3
Source: RefSeq, a predicted model, not a curated record
GAGGCGAAGGCAGCCGGUUGGGCCGGGCUGAGAUUUAAAAAAAAAAAAUGUUUCCUUCUUUAUCCACAAUGGAAGUAUCCGACGGUUGGGGCGGUCGGUGGACGAACAGCAGGAGGAACGACGCAAGCUCUCCGCUCAUGUCUACGCGCCACUUGAAUAAAUAAAACAUCAAGCGCCGCUGUGAAUUAUGAGCACCCGGCUGCAGGUAACACAACAUGUGAUGCACGUCUCGGAGUGUCCGCCCACGCAGGAUUCAUCUCCUCCAGCCGAGGCGGUAGCUAAGGAGAGCCUGGUUUGAUAUAUCACCUCGCCUUUGAGCCACUGAAUUACUGUCAUCACGAGGACCCAGCUGAAAAAACAUGUCGGCUGCUCUACGUGGAAUGGAUCAUCAAUGACAGCCAAUUCAUACCACGUUUUUUGUGUGGAAUGUUUGAUUUAUGAAAAUGAAGCCGAAGUUCAUCCAACAUAUGUUAAUGUGUUUUUCAUUCGUCCUGUGAGGACGUUUUAAGUACCGCCUUUCGUCAGGUUCAAAAUGUGCAAGAGUUUCCCGUUUCGCAGGCCUUCAUGCACCUGCAGAAGUUAAAAACGAAGCUUUGCAGCGUCAAUAAAUGCCAUCCAUCCGUCCAUCUUCUUCCGCUUAUCCGAGGUCGGGUCGCGGGGGCAGCAGCCUAAGCAGGGAAACCCAGACUUCCCUCUCCCCGGCCACUUCGUCCAGCUCUUCC